RNAcentral lists this non-coding RNA (26 nucleotides) under Cricetulus griseus (Chinese hamster). The record is from RNAcentral. Lineage: Eukaryota; Metazoa; Chordata; Mammalia; Rodentia; Cricetidae.
CCGUUGACCAGAUACACUAGAACUAU